AAUGAACGUUGGCGGCAUGGAUUAGGCAUGCAAGUCGAGCGCGAAACGUAGCAAUACGUGGAGAGCGGCGAAAGGGAGAGGAAUAUGUGGGAACCUACCUUCGGGCCUGGAAUAGCGGCGGGAAACUGCCGGUAAUGCCAGAUAACGUCCCCGGACCAAAGGUGUGAUUCCGCCUGGAGAUGGGCCCACAUCCUAUCAGCUUGUUGGUGUGGUAACGGCGCACCAAGGCUAAGACGGGUAUGGGGUGUGAGAGCAUGCCCCCACUCACUGGGACUGAGACACUGCCCAGACACCUACGGGUGGCUGCAGUCGAGAAUCUGCGGCAAUGAGCGAAAGCUUGACCGGGCGAUGCCGCGUGCGGGAUGAAGGCGCUCGGGUUGUAAACCGCUGUCGUAGGGGAAUAACGGUCGGUGGGUUCGCCCAGCGAUUUGAAUGAUCCUAGGAGGAAGGACGGGCUAAGUUCGUG
Molecule: ribosomal RNA, 466 nt
Filed under: uncultured bacterium
Lineage: Bacteria
Description: partial 16S ribosomal RNA
Rfam family: Bacterial small subunit ribosomal RNA
Source: RNAcentral